Molecule: long non-coding RNA, 449 nt
Organism: Saccoglossus kowalevskii
Lineage: Eukaryota; Metazoa; Hemichordata; Enteropneusta; Harrimaniidae
Source: RefSeq, a predicted model, not a curated record
CUGGUCAAAGACAGAAGAAGUGCUCUCUAGGUGCAAAUUUAUCUUAUUUUCAAACUGUUAAUCUAGUGACAACAUGGCAAAUAAGCUUAUGUGUAUAGCUUUGGCACUGAUGCUGCUCACUGUCAUAACAAGUGCUGCGAAAGAGGGUAAGUCGAGAAAGGGAUCAGCUGGAAGUAAAUCAAUAAUCAGCUCACCAAGUGAAUUAUCUGAGCCGGACGAAUCGGUCGGAGAAUCGGGUGAUAAUACUCGUUUAGAUUUUGGAAAGAAAUAGCUCUUGUAAGUGUUAAAAACUCAGUCACUGACCUUUACAAGUUAUGUGUAAUUCAUGCUGUGUACUUGAUGAGUGAUUAAGAACGAAAUGACUUUCAACUAUCAAUAAUGAGUAAUUGGUGGUGGUGAUAAUAUAAUACCUUUAAACUGUAAUAAAAUAUUCUUGUUCUCUGCAUUAA